GACUCUCAUAAUGACUGGCCAUACUGGAAAGGAUAACUUAGUUGAUUAGCCAAACAAUGACUUGAACCACAGCGUCAAAUGAAGGCUUUCCUAACGGAAUCUCUUUUCCUUACAUCUUUCUCAGAAAAAAAAGAAGAGACCAUUCCUGUGAUCAUUUCCCCCCUCAAGACCAUAUCAGCUUCUCUGGGGUCAAGACUGACAAUCCCGUGUAAGGUGUUUCUGGGAACCGGCACACCCUUAACCACCAUGCUGUGGUGGACGGCCAAUGACACCCACAUAGAGAGCGCCUACCCGGGAGGCCGCGUGACCGAGGGGCCACGCCAGGAAUAUUCAGAAAAUAAUGAGAACUACAUUGAAGUGCCAUUGAUUUUUGAUCCUGUCACAAGAGAGGAUUUGCACAUGGAUUUUAAAUGUGUUGUCCAUAAUACCCUGAGUUUUCAGACGCUGCGCACCACAGUCAAGGAAGCCUCCUCCACGUUCUCCUGGGGCAUUGUGCUGGCCCCACUUUCACUGGCCUUCUUGGUUUUGGGGGGAAUAUGGAUGCACAGACGGUGCAAACACAGAACUGGAAAAGCAGAUGGUCUGACUGUGCUAUGGCCUCAUCAUCAAGACUUUCAAUCCUAUCCCAAGUGAAAUAAAUGGAAUGAAAUAAUUC
RNAcentral lists this small RNA (655 nucleotides) under Pan troglodytes (chimpanzee). RNAcentral describes it as "retained intron". Lineage: Eukaryota; Metazoa; Chordata; Mammalia; Primates; Hominidae. The record is from RNAcentral.